GGGUAAAACUUGGAAGGAAGGGGGUUGAAGCUUUCAUUUCAUCUGACCUCCAAGGGCUGACUGAGUAUGAACAGAAGGCACUGGAAGCUCUCAAGCCUGAACUGAAGGCCAGCAUUGAGAAAGGUAUCGCAUUUGCUCAGAGGGAACCAGUGGCUGCAUAGAGUGAGGUCAGUUCUGGAAGCCUAAACCAUACUGAAAUGCAGGUUUAUUGCGGUUGAUAAUUUUUGUUGCGGCUCAUCAUUACAUCAGCACUUUAAAUUUUGUAGAAUUUUCGUUUCUUUUUUUAAUACCGUGAGAAACUCUUUUUUAAUGAGAUAUUCCAUGAUAGCAUUGUCGGUUCGAAGAUUGCAAUUGCUACCAUUGAGGGAAUGUACCUUUCCUUUUACCUUUUUGAAAUAACACUGCUGAUGUAUCCCAACAUUUUUAUUAAUAACUGAGAAAACUUUUAUGCAUCUAAUGUCAUUUGAAUAACCAAGAAACCAUAUUGAUUUGCCAUUUUCAACCUGGUCCUUUCGCAGCUGUCUCUGUAAGGAAGGCUGUAUUACCAGAAUCUCUGCAUGUUCGUAAUUAUAUCGUGGCAGAUAAGCCAAGGCAUGUGUUAAUCUAUGAUUUCAUACUAUGAUUUCAAGGAUCCCAGGAAACCUUUAUAAGAAGCCAGGCAGCCCCAUUUUUUCUCGAAUAGGUAUUCCCCGUGAUGAAGGUGGGUAACCCAUUUGUGUGGAAGCAACAUUUCAAGAGCUUUAUUGAAUAUUGUAAUCAUAGGAUUGCCAUUCUUAAUCUCAUGGAGGACAAGGGCCAGGAACUUGGACUUUGCCUCUUGUAAAGAGGAAGGAUGCCCUAUGAAGAUUCGAAAUGGAUAGCAACAGUAGAGCAUCAUGCAAUAAUGCACAUAUCUAAUUACUGGGUUCGAGAGCAGUUCUAAAGUCAGUAACACAGUCUAGCAUUGAUGGCCCGGUUUAUUAUCAAUACAACUAGGGGGGUGUUUGGCAUUGAUUUAAAACUUGAAAAUAUUGUUUUUUUCUUGAAAUUGUGCUUUUUUUUAAGUGUUUUUGAAUAAUUUUGAUAUGUUGAUAUUAACAAUAAAUUUUUAAAAAAUAAAUAUAUUAUUUUAAUAUUUUUAUAUACAAAAACAUUUUAAAAAUAAUCACUCCUUGUAAGCACCUUCCUAAAACAGGUAGGGUUAGUUUAAUAGUUCAUAUGAAUAUUAAUAGGGUAAUAUAUUAUUUUUGUCAUUAAGUAACAAGCUUUUAGUGGUGUAGCUAUCAUGGUUUUGAAUUCUAGCAUAAACAAAUAAAUCUUUUUAGGUAAUUAUUUUAUAUUUGAUUUAAAAAAAAAAAGAGGGGCAGAACCAAAAAGUCAAGGUGCAUGUCUUCUUUAUACCCAUGUGCCUCGACUCUUUUUUUUUUUUUUGCUAUUUUGACCCUCCUAAUUUUUAAUAUUAAAUUGAUAAUAAAUUAGUUUUUGUAUUUUUAUCAUAUAAUAAAAAAAAUUAUCUUUUUUAUGAUCUUUUGUUUUUUCUUGUUCUUUGUUUUUUCAUCUCCAUCAUUAAUAAAGUAAUAUAAAAAAAGAGGAUAUAGAGUUACAUCCUAAUAAUAAAAAUCAAAUAUCACAACUCUUCAUUCUUAUAAAUAAAUAUGUCUGUUACACAAUAAUAAACAGUAAGAAAAAAUAUUGAAAAGAAAAAAAAUAUAGAACAAAAUAUAGGAGAAUUAAUUAAUAUGAUCUUCUUAAGCCAACAAACCUAAAAUUAAUUAAUAUAUACGUGGUUGUUUCUAGUUCACAAGGUGCAAGAAGAAAGAAGCGUAAGCAUCAAAGUGAAUCUCAAUAUAAGCAAGGUAAAGAGAAAUCCAUGGAAAAGGAAAACAUUCUUUUAAGAAGAAAAGGAACAAUCACCAUGAGGUUCCUCUGGUCCACAAAGGGAAAAGAUUAGUGGGAAGAACUCGAGGGGAUAACAAGUAAAGCCAAUUUUUUUGUAAAGUAGUGCAAGCAUAACCCCACUCUUCAAUUUCCUGACAUAUAAAAUUGAUGAUGGCAUGGAAUGAAUCGACUGUGAGACUUUGUGAAUCAGAAGACAAUUUCUCUAACUGUAACUUAUGAAAAUCAUUAGCCAACAUGAUUUUAUUAAUGGGUGCAGGAGACCAUCCAGAAGGUGGACUCAUAAGCAUACAUUUUGCAAUCUCAAGCUCCACUAAAGAAGGAAAUUGGGUUAUGACAGUGAGAAACUCUUUUUUGCAUUGUCGGUUCGAAGAUUGCAAUUGCUAUCAUUGAGGGGAUGUACCUUUCCUUUUACCUUUUUGAAAUAACACUGCUGAUGUAUCCCAACAUUUUUAUUAAUAACUGAGAAAACUUUUAUGCAUCCAAUGUCAUUUGAAUAACCAAGAAACCAUAUUGAGUUGCCAUUUUCAACCUGGUCCUUGCGCAGCUGUCUUUGUUAGGAAGGCUGUAUUACCAGAAUCUCUGUAUGUUCGUAAUUAUAUUGUGACAGAUAAGCAAAGGCAUGUGUUAAUCUAUGAAUUCAUACGAGUAAGAGGAUCCCAGGAAACCUUUAUAAGAAGCUAGGCAGCCCCAUUUUUUAUCGAAUAGGUAUUCCCCGUGAUGAAGGAGGGUAACCCAUUUGUGAGGAAGCAACAUUUCAAGAGCUUUAUUGAAUAUUGUAAUCAUAGGAUUGCCAUUCUUAAUCUCAUGGAGGACAAGGGCCAGGAACUUGGACUUUGCCUCUCGUAAAGAGGAAGGAUGCCCUAUGAAGAUUCGAAAUGGAUAGCAACAGUAGAGCAUCAUGCAAUAAUGCACGUAUCUAAUUACUGGGUUCGAGAGCAGUUCUAAAGUCAUUGAUUUAAAACAACUAGGGGGGUGUUUGGCAUUGAUUUAAAACUUGAAAAUAUUGUUUUUUCUUGAAAUUGCUUUUUUUAAAGUGUUUUUGAAUAAUUUUGAUAUGAUGAUAUAAACAAAUAAAUCUUUUUAGGCAAUUAUUUUAUAUUUUCUUUUUAAAAAAGAAGGGACGGAACCAAAAAGUCAAGGUCUGCAGGUGUCCUUUAGACCCAUGUGCCUUGACUUUUUUUAUUUGCCAUUUAGAUCCUCCUAGUUUUUAAUAUUAAAUUAAUUUUUGUAUUUUUUGUCAUAUAAUAGAAAGCUUUUUGUCUUCUUUUUUUAUGAUCUUUUGUUUUUUCUUGUUCCUUUUUUUUCAUCUCCAUCAUUCAAAGAGUUUUUUUUGUCCAUUAUUUCAUUUUUUAAUAUGAUUUUAUUUAAUUUUAUCAUUUAGAAUUAGAUUAAUGGUAAAUCAGUGUCUCUAUUUUAUAUAUAUAUAUAUAAUAAAAGUUUUUUGGCCUUUUAUUAUUAUUUUUUUCAAUUUUAUCUUUUAAUAUAGGGUUUUUAAUUCCUUUGGGUUUUGGAUCUUUUUUUUUUAAUUUAGGUUUUUUUUUAAUUUUAUUCUUCAGUGUUGAUUUGAUUUUUUUUAUCUACUUAGUGAACAAGAUCACAUCAAAAAAUUUCUCACACGAUUUAAAUUAAAACUCAAGCUAAACAAAUAAUCAAGUCAUAGUUUUACAAGUUUAAACCAUUAUACUAAAUUUAACAAAUAAUCAAGUCAUAGUUUUUUAAAUUUGAAUGGUUGUACCGAGUUUUAUACAGUGCUAAAAUAUUUUCAAUAAUCUAGACAUUAUUUUGUUACAUUAAAAAAAAAUUCACCUUACUUUUUUUUUAUCCAAGCCUCGCUAAUAAACUAACAAUACCCAAAACAACAAUGAGUCAUUAAUAGUAGAUUAUUUUUUUUAAUCAAUGAGUCAUUGAUAAUAGAAAUUUUUUUUAUUUUUUUAUUUUUUUAUAAAAGAUUUUUUUGAUCUCAUGAUCCGAGUUACAAAUAAUAUUAAAUUUGUUUUUUAUUGGGUUAUCUUCAUCUCAUGACUUAAAUUACAGAUUUAGCAUAUUAACCUUGUUAACUCAAAUGUUUUUCCUUUUUAAUUGAUUUUUCCUCCCAAUUCCAUUAUUUAAUAUUGUGUUAAUGUGUUUCAUUGAAAAUUAGACUUCAUGAUUUGUUUUAUUUUACUUUUUAUUUGAUUAUUUGAAACUCAUAACCUAGGAAUAAUGUUUAAAGAAUUAACCCGAAUUGACUUUACUUAUUUUAUACAUUAUUUUUUAAUAAAAUUAUUUACAAAUUUCAUCGCUCAACAUUUAGUUGUUAGGUCAAUUGAGGAUAAACAUCAUACUUUAUUUUGACUUGUAUUCUAUGAGAGCUCAAUCUCAUAACUAGAGUUGUGGAUUUAACAAGUUAAGUAAUGUUGUUUUUUUAUUUUAUUUCUAUUAGAUUGUCUACGUCUCAUGUCUGGAGUUAGGAGUUUGGGGACUAACUUAAGUUAUUUUUUAUGUUUUUUUUAAUUUAUUUUUUUAUAAUCACAUCCUUUAAUGUUUGGCUGAUUAGAAAUCAGACUUCGUAAUUUGAUUUGAUUUUUUUUAUAUGGAAUUAUCUCAGUAUUAUGACUUAGUUACAGGUUUGACAAGUUAACUCAGUUUGCUUUUUAGAUUCUUUUUUAAUUGAUUUUUUUUAGUUUUAUCUUUUAAUAUUUGAUUGAUUAGGAAUUAACUUCAUAAUUUAUUUUGAUUUAUUUUUUAUAAGGUUAUUAUAAUGUCAUAGCUCGGGUCAUGAAUUUAACAUUUUAACUCGAGUUAACCUAAAUCAAUUUAAUAUGUUAUUAUUUUAAUAUUAAAAAAUAAAUAUCAUCCUAAAAAACAAAUUCCCAAUUAAUCUUAGGUUUGUUUUAAACUUGUAAAGUAAUUUUUUUUCCAUCUGAAAAAUUAAAAUAUUGAUAACACUUGAAUACUUUUUUAAUAUUUAAGAAAGAUUUGAUCCGACCGCUGGUCAAUAAUAUAGUAAUGAUUACAAAGAGUCCAAUAACACGUAAUUUCCAGUUUCUUUUCUUUCGUUUUCGGGCCGGUGUCCCAGAAAAAAACCCUCAAAACCGUCCCAGUCCAAGAUGAAAUCUGGACCAUAUCAUUCCACGUGUUAGCAUUCCAUCCGUUGAAAAAAAUUCUUUCAUCCCAACAUUUUCGUAGUCUGAAAUGAGAAUCAGACCAUGCAAAAACCUCAACAAAAAAAAAGAUAGAAAAAGAUUUGAAUUUUUUCUUUUUUAUCUCAACACUAACAUCCCUUUUCUUUAGUUAAAUUUCAUUGUUUCAGCAGUAGCAGUCCUUCUUCAAAAUCUUUACCUUUUCUCUUCCAGUAGGUAAAACAACCAACCCCAUUUUCAUAUUUUUAUCAUUGCUAUUAUUGCUUUUCUUGCAGCUUUAAAUUAUUAGAAGCCAUACAUUUUUUAUAUAUUUAAUUUAUGGAUAUAUUAAUUGUUUUUUAUUAUCUGUUCCUUUUAGUUUUGCCAUACGUUUGGAUUUAUGGUUUUUAAUUUUAUGUGGAUUUAAUUAUGGAUUUGGAGGAGAUAGUAUGAAGCUUUUGCUAAAAUUUAAAUUUGUGCUAUCUUUUAAGGUGUUUUCAGUGAAUGGUAGAGUGAUAUGUGGAUUACCACCUGUUCUUCUCUAGAUUAAAGGAUUUUCAUUUAACCUGAUUAUUUUACUUUGUAAUUUGAACCAAAAAAGGAAAAAAAAAAAAAAAACCAUGUAGAGAUGGGUAUUUUACUGGAACAUAUUCUAAGGUCUGGUUGAGGUUGAAGAUGACGUGUCUUACAGUCUAGUCACUAUGGAUUUAAAUAUUGUUCACUUUAGUCCCUGCAGUGCAGUACUGGCUGCUGCUUUGAAUUGCUUUUUUCUCUCCAGAAAUGUCCCUGUGUGUAAGCAAAGCUCUUUCAGAUAUGCCCUAGGUUUUGAAUUUCUGAUUUUUAAAUGGUUGUAGAUGGAUCCAAUAAUCUCAUUAUAUUAUGGAUUAUUAGCCCUCAAAUUUUUAUUGUGGCUGAUCAUUUUUAUUUUGUGUGUGUGUGUGAGAGAGAGAGAGAAGGUGGAUGUGCUCACUUUGAUUAAUUGUUAAAAUUAGCUAAUUAACUUUAUUAUUUUUGCUCCUUAAUUAAUUAUAUAAUUACCUAAAGUAAUAUUGAAUAUUAUUUCCAACCAAUUUCUAUACUUAGCUCCUCUAAUUAUACCUUUUAAUUUUCCCAACGCCACAUCUACAUAUUUUUGUUUCUCUGUUUUAUAGUAAUGGAUCUGUUAUCACUUUGCUUACAGGAUUUUGGUUUUUCAAUCCUCAAUGGCCUCUGCUUUUGAAGAUUUUUGUUCAGUUAUACCUUACAUUUUGACGCUAUAUUUGUAUUUAUCACUGCAAUGAUGCAUUUAAGGAAUUUCUAUAAGGUUAAUGUGUGGUUGGUGGUUUAAUUUUAAAGGUGGUUUUGAAAUGAGGUUGCUUGGUUUUGCUAAUUUAACUUCUUUUAGUUUGUUCUUUAAGUAUGUUAUGUUUUCGGAUCAUGCUUUGGCUGCUAGAGGUGCCUGGAUAGUGAUGAACUGCAUCUUUAUCUUUUGGAUUGAAUUCAAAUAAACCUCACUUUCGUUGUUAAAAGUGUUAGUUCUCUAAUGAAAUAAGCCCUGCAUUGUUUUUUGUUUCACAGCUAUUCAAAAUGGCAGCAACAUCUGCUGCUACCUUUUCAAUUGGAUCAACCAUCUCCCUUGGCACCAAAAGCGAGCCAACUCCCGCAAUCGAAGCCCUUGUCUGUGAGAUUUAACUCCCAGAACACUCUUGCGACCUUCAGUGGACUCAAGGCAGCAACCUUCGUGAAGUGUGAGUCGGAGUCAUCUUUCUUAGGCAAGGAAAGCAGUGCAGCGCUUCGAGGAGCUGCUGCACCAAAAGCUCAAAAAUCAAGCCAAAGGUCACAGUAUCACCUAAACCCACAGGCAUCUUACAAGGUGGCGAUUCUUGGAGCUGCUGGAGGGAUAGGUCAGCCUUUAGCACUUCUAGUUAAGAUGUCGCCAUUGAUUUCAGCCCUGCACAUCUAUGAUAUAGCAAAUGUCAAGGGAGUUGCUGUUGAUCUCAGUCACUGUAACACCCCCUCACAAGUCUUGGGUUUCACAGGAACUUCUGAAUUACCUAAUUCUUUGAAGGGUGUAGAUGUUGUUGUCAUUCCGGCUGGGGUUCCAAGGAAGCCUGGUAUGAACCGCGAUGACCUCUUCAGCAUCAAUGCCAGCAUUGUAAAGACCUUGGUUGAGGCUGUUGCUGAUAACUGCCCUGAUGCUUUCAUACACAUUAUCAGCAAUCCAGUCAACUCUACAUUGCCAAUUGCAGCUGAAGUUUUGAAGAAGAAGGGUGUGUAUGAUCCAAAGAAGCUCUUUGGUGUUACGACACUUGAUGUUGUUAGGGCGAACACAUUUGUUGCUGAGAAGAAGAAUCUCAAGCUUAUCGAUGUGGAUGUACCAGUAGUAGGGGGGCACGCUGGGAUAACCAUUCUUCCCCUCCUAUCAAAGACGAGACCUCCAGUUAGUUUCACUGAUGAGGAAGUGCAGGAGCUAACUGUGAGGAUCCAGAAUGCUGGGACAGAAGUUGUGGAGGCGAAGGAAGGGGCAGGGUCUGCUACCCUGUCAAUGGCAUAUGCUGCAGCCAGAUUUGUCGAAUCUUCUCUUCGCGCGUUGGACGGUGAUGCUGAUGUCUAUGAGUGCUCGUUUGUGCAAUCAGAUCUUACUGAGCUUCCAUUCUUCGCGUCAAGGGUAAAACUUGGAAGGAAGGGGGUCGAAGCUUUCAUUUCAUCUGACCUCCAAGGGCUGACUGAGUAUGAACAGAAGGCACUGGAAGCUCUCAAGCCUGAACUGAAGGCCAGCAUUGAGAAAGGUAUCGCAUUUGCUCAGAAGUAACCAGUGGCUACAUAGAUUGAGUUAAUUUCUGGAAGCCACAACCAGACAGAAAGGUGGGUCUUAUCUCCGUUGGUCAUUUUUUCCCCAGAUCAAUGCAUCGGCAAUUUCAGUUUUGUAGAAUUUUCACCCAUCUUAUGUCUUGAGAAACUUCUUUUGAGGAUAUAUUUUCUUUAGUGUAGUAC
This 7952-nucleotide long non-coding RNA is filed under the name Populus tremula. RNAcentral's name for it is "long non-coding RNA (PTRE_LNC001342)". Lineage: Eukaryota; Viridiplantae; Streptophyta; Magnoliopsida; Malpighiales; Salicaceae. The record is from RNAcentral.